Molecule: ribosomal RNA, 585 nt
Filed under: Aureobasidium sp. BJ-2021b
Lineage: Eukaryota; Fungi; Ascomycota; Dothideomycetes; Dothideales; Saccotheciaceae
Description: SSU rRNA
Rfam family: Bacterial small subunit ribosomal RNA
Source: RNAcentral
AGAAUAUUAGUCAAUGGCCUAACGGCUGAACCAGCAACUUGGAGGAAUGUAAGUAUCUGUAGGGUUAGCCUUACAGAUACGUUUCGACUACGUCGUAUAAAGUUCUAGAUAGAAGACUGAUAAUGACAAUUUUCUAUCUAUAUGUCUUGACCAAAUCUCGUGCCAGCAGUCGCGGCAAUACGAGGAAGACUAGUGUUAUUCAUCUUUAUUAGGUUUAAAGGGUACCUAGACGGCAUAUCAAGCCCCAAAAGGGAACAGAUAUACUAGAGUUUUAUGUGAGAGGUAUAUAUUAGUACUCUUGGUGUAGAGAUAAAAUUCUUUAAUACUAAUAGGACGGAUAAGAGCAAAAGCAAACCUUUAUGUAUAAACUGACGUUGAGGGACGAAGGCUUGGGUCGCGAAUAGGAUUAGAUACCCUAGUAGUCCAGGCAGAGAAUUAUGAAUGUUAUAGACUUACGAUUCUAAGUGUAUAAAUGAAAGUGUAAGCAUUCCACCUCAAGAGUAAUGUGGCAACGCAGGAACUGAAAUCAUUAGACCGUUUCUGAAACCAGUAGUGAAGUAUGUUAUUUAAUUCAAUAAAUCCGCA